Molecule: ribosomal RNA, 502 nt
Filed under: uncultured bacterium
Lineage: Bacteria
Description: partial 16S ribosomal RNA
Rfam family: Bacterial small subunit ribosomal RNA
Source: RNAcentral
AUUGAACGCUGGCGGAAUGCUUUACACAUGCAAGUCGAACGGCAGCAUAGGUGCUUGCACCUGAUGGCGAGUGGCGAACGGGUGAGUAAUACAUCGGAACGUGCCCAGUCGUGGGGGAUAACGUAGCGAAAGUUACGCUAAUACCGCAUACGAUCUAAGGAUGAAAGCGGGGGACCGUAAGGCCUCGCGCGAUUGGAGCGGCCGAUGUCAGAUUAGGUAGUUGGUGAGGUAAAGGCUCACCAAGCCGACGAUCUGUAGCUGGUCUGAGAGGACGACCAGCCACACUGGGACUGGGACACGGCCCAGACUCCUACGGGAGGCAGCCGUGUGGAAUUUUGGACAAUGGACGCAAGUCUGAUCCAGCCAUUCCGCGUGCAGGACGAAGGCCUUCGGGUUGUAAACUGCUUUUGUACGGAACGAAAAUGCUCUUACUAAUACUAGGAGUCCAUGACGGUACCGUAAGAAUAAGCACCGGCUAACUACGUGCCAGCAGCCGCGGUAA